GGCUGGGCUGGGGAAGCCCCCGGAGUCUGCGCCGCCGCGCGCCGGCGGAAGGUGACUGCAGGCGGGCGCUUGGAGGCGGCGCCGGCGGGGAGGACUGUGCCCUUUGCCCUAGGCGGUCUCAGCCAGCCUUCCGUCGCUCCUUCACGUCAAUCUGGUCGGGCCGAGUUCUGGCGCGGGAGUGAGGACGGUCUGCAGGGACCGCUCGUUAACUUUAAACAGAGCAAAGAGCGAUGUUAUGUAAGCAAAAAAAUGAAUGAAUGUAUGUGGAGAUAGCAAAGGAACUACAGUUCAGGACAAGGAACCUAUGGCGAAGCCCAAGAGACGAAGAGAAGCCUUUCUCUUCAUGGACCUCACAAAAAUGAAGCCCUGUUCCCAAGGGGAAUCCAUUAUCUACUGAUGGCCCAGGUAUCUCAGAUUCUUCAAGACCAUGGGCAUGAUGUGAUCUUACUUCAACAGAAUGGACUUUCGUUCACAUUAGAGUAGGCUCCAUGCCCAGUGUGGACCCCAACCUGGGG
This is a long non-coding RNA of Herpailurus yagouaroundi (jaguarundi), 515 nucleotides long. RefSeq lists it as uncharacterized. The record is from RefSeq and is a predicted model, not a curated record. The transcript is spliced from 3 exons. Lineage: Eukaryota; Metazoa; Chordata; Mammalia; Carnivora; Felidae.